GACGAACGCUGGCGGCGUGCUUAACACAUGCAAGUCGAACGGAAAGGCCCUGCUUUUGUGGGGUGCUCGAGUGGCGAACGGGUGAGUAACACGUGAGUAACCUGCCCUUGACUUUGGGAUAACUUUAGGAAACUGGGGCUAAUACCGGAUAGGAGCUCCUGCUGCAUAGUGGGGGUUGGAAAGUUUCGGCGGUUGGGGAUGGACUCGCGGCUUAUCAGCUUGUUGGUGGGGUAGUGGCUUACCAAGGCUUUGACGGGUAGCCGGCCUGAGAGGGUGACCGGCCACAUUGGGACUGAGAUACGGCCCAGACUCCUACGGGAGGCAGCAGUGGGGAAUAUUGCACAAUGGGCGGAAGCCUGAUGCAGCAACGCCGCGUGCGGGAUGACGGCCUUCGGGUUGUAAACCGCUUUCGCCUGUGACGAAGCGUGAGUGACGGUAAUGGGGAAAGAAGCACCGGCUAACUACGU
RNAcentral lists this ribosomal RNA (467 nucleotides) under uncultured bacterium. Its description in RNAcentral is "partial 16S ribosomal RNA". It matches the Rfam family "Bacterial small subunit ribosomal RNA", at positions 28 to 506 of the family's 1533-position model. The record is from RNAcentral.